This is a non-coding RNA of Danio rerio (zebrafish), 74 nucleotides long. Lineage: Eukaryota; Metazoa; Chordata; Actinopteri; Cypriniformes; Danionidae. The record is from Rfam.
GGCCGGUUAGCUCAGCUAUUCAGAGCGUGGUGCUAAUAACACCAAGGUCGCGGGUUCGAUCCACGUACUGGCCA